RNAcentral lists this ribosomal RNA (468 nucleotides) under uncultured bacterium. RNAcentral's name for it is "partial 16S ribosomal RNA". It matches the Rfam family "Bacterial small subunit ribosomal RNA", at positions 28 to 507 of the family's 1533-position model. The record is from RNAcentral.
GACGAACGCUGGCGGCGUGCUUAACACAUGCAAGUCGAACGGAAAGGCCCUGCCUUUGUGGGUUGCUCGAGUGGCGAACGGGUGAGUAAUACGUAAGUAACCUGCCCUUGACUUUGGGAUAAAUUCCGGAAACUGGGGCUAAUACCGGAUAGGAGCUCCUGCUGCCUGGUUGGGGUUGGUAAGUUUCGGCGGUGCGGGAUGGUCUCGCGGCUGCUCAGCAUGUUGGUGGGGUAGUGGCUUACCACGGCUUUGACGGGUAGCCGGCCUCAGAGGGUGACCGGCCACAUGGGGACUGAGAUACGGCCCGGACUCGUAGGGAAGUCAGCAGUGGGGAAUAAUGCACGAUGGGCGAAAGCCGGAUGCAGCAACGCCGCGUGCGGGUUGACGGCCUUCGGGUUAUAAACCGCUUGCGCCAUUGACAAAGCGUGAGUGACGGUAAUUGGUAAAGAAGCACCGGCUAACUACGUG